GAGGACCGGAGUGGACGCAUCACUGGUGUUCGGGUUGUCAUGCCAAUGGCACUGCCCGGUAGCUAAAUGCGGAAGAGAUAAGUGCUGAAAGCAUCUAAGCACGAAACUUGCCCCGAGAUGAGUUCUCCCUGAGACUUAGAGUCUCCUGAAGGAACGUUGAAGACGACGACGUUGAUAGGCCGGGUGUGUAAGCGCAGCGAUGCGUUGAGCUAACCGGUACUAAUGAACCGUGAGGCUUAACCUUACAACGCCGAAG
Molecule: ribosomal RNA, 256 nt
Filed under: Salmonella enterica
Lineage: Bacteria; Pseudomonadati; Pseudomonadota; Gammaproteobacteria; Enterobacterales; Enterobacteriaceae
Also listed under: 2 other names
Description: partial 23S ribosomal RNA
Rfam family: Bacterial large subunit ribosomal RNA
Source: RNAcentral